This 2758-nucleotide ribosomal RNA is filed under the name Klebsiella pneumoniae. RNAcentral's name for it is "partial 23S ribosomal RNA". It matches the Rfam family "Bacterial large subunit ribosomal RNA". The record is from RNAcentral. Lineage: Bacteria; Pseudomonadati; Pseudomonadota; Gammaproteobacteria; Enterobacterales; Enterobacteriaceae.
CACUAUCGUUAACUGAAUACAUAGGUUAACGAGGCGAACCGGGGGAACUGAAACAUCUAAGUACCCCGAGGAAAAGAAAUCAACCGAGAUUCCCCCAGUAGCGGCGAGCGAACGGGGAGCAGCCCAGAGUCUGAAUCAGCUUGUGUGUUAGUGGAACGGUCUGGAAAGUCCGACGGUACAGGGUGAUAGUCCCGUACACCAAAAUGCACAGGCUGUGAACUCGAAGAGUAGGGCGGGACACGUGGUAUCCUGUCUGAAUAUGGGGGGACCAUCCUCCAAGGCUAAAUACUCCUGACUGACCGAUAGUGAACCAGUACCGUGAGGGAAAGGCGAAAAGAACCCCGGCGAGGGGAGUGAAAAAGAACCUGAAACCGUGUACGUACAAGCAGUGGGAGCACCUUCGGGUGUGACUGCGUACCUUUUGUAUAAUGGGUCAGCGACUUAUAUUCUGUAGCAAGGUUAACCGUAUAGGGGAGCCGCAGGGAAACCGAGUCUUAACUGGGCGUUAAGUUGCAGGGUAUAGACCCGAAACCCGGUGAUCUAGCCAUGGGCAGGUUGAAGGUUGGGUAACACUAACUGGAGGACCGAACCGACUAAUGUUGAAAAAUUAGCGGAUGACUUGUGGCUGGGGGUGAAAGGCCAAUCAAACCGGGAGAUAGCUGGUUCUCCCCGAAAGCUAUUUAGGUAGCGCCUCGUGAACUCAUCUUCGGGGGUAGAGCACUGUUUCGGCUAGGGGGUCAUCCCGACUUACCAACCCGAUGCAAACUACGAAUACCGAAGAAUGUUAUCACGGGAGACACACGGCGGGUGCUAACGUCCGUCGUGAAGAGGGAAACAACCCAGACCGCCAGCUAAGGUCCCAAAGUCAUGGUUAAGUGGGAAACGAUGUGGGAAGGCACAGACAGCCAGGAUGUUGGCUUAGAAGCAGCCAUCAUUUAAAGAAAGCGUAAUAGCUCACUGGUCGAGUCGGCCUGCGCGGAAGAUGUAACGGGGCUAAACCAUGCACCGAAGCUGCGGCAGCGACACUAUGUGUUGUUGGGUAGGGGAGCGUUCUGUAAGCCUGCGAAGGUGACCUGUGAGGGUUGCUGGAGGUAUCAGAAGUGCGAAUGCUGACAUAAGUAACGAUAAAGCGGGUGAAAAGCCCGCUCGCCGGAAGACCAAGGGUUCCUGUCCAACGUUAAUCGGGGCAGGGUGAGUCGACCCCUAAGGCGAGGCCGAAAGGCGUAGUCGAUGGGAAACAGGUUAAUAUUCCUGUACUUGGUGUUACUGCGAAGGGGGGACGGAGAAGGCUAUGUUAGCCGGGCGACGGUUGUCCCGGUUUAAGCAUGUAGGCUGGUUAUCCAGGCAAAUCCGGAUAAUCAAGGCUGAGGUGUGAUGACGAGGCACUACGGUGCUGAAGUAACAAAUGCCCUGCUUCCAGGAAAAGCCUCUAAGCAUCAGGUAACAUCAAAUCGUACCCCAAACCGACACAGGUGGUCAGGUAGAGAAUACCAAGGCGCUUGAGAGAACUCGGGUGAAGGAACUAGGCAAAAUGGUGCCGUAACUUCGGGAGAAGGCACGCUGGUGUGUAGGUGAAGUCCCUGCGGAUGGAGCUGAGACCAGUCGAAGAUACCAGCUGGCUGCAACUGUUUAUUAAAAACACAGCACUGUGCAAACACGAAAGUGGACGUAUACGGUGUGACGCCUGCCCGGUGCCGGAAGGUUAAUUGAUGGGGUUAUCCGUAAGGAGAAGCUCUUGAUCGAAGCCCCGGUAAACGGCGGCCGUAACUAUAACGGUCCUAAGGUAGCGAAAUUCCUUGUCGGGUAAGUUCCGACCUGCACGAAUGGCGUAAUGAUGGCCAGGCUGUCUCCACCCGAGACUCAGUGAAAUUGAACUCGCUGUGAAGAUGCAGUGUACCCGCGGCAAGACGGAAAGACCCCGUGAACCUUUACUAUAGCUUGACACUGAACAUUGAGCCUUGAUGUGUAGGAUAGGUGGGAGGCUUUGAAGCGUGGACGCCAGUCUGCGUGGAGCCAACCUUGAAAUACCACCCUUUAAUGUUUGAUGUUCUAACGUUGGCCCCUUACCGGGGUUGCGGACAGUGUCUGGUGGGUAGUUUGACUGGGGCGGUCUCCUCCCAAAGCGUAACGGAGGAGCACGAAGGUUAGCUAAUCCUGGUCGGACAUCAGGAGGUUAGUGCAAUGGCAUAAGCUAGCUUGACUGCGAGCGUGACGGCGCGAGCAGGUGCGAAAGCAGGUCAUAGUGAUCCGGUGGUUCUGAAUGGAAGGGCCAUCGCUCAACGGAUAAAAGGUACUCCGGGGAUAACAGGCUGAUACCGCCCAAGAGUUCAUAUCGACGGCGGUGUUUGGCACCUCGAUGUCGGCUCAUCACAUCCUGGGGCUGAAGUAGGUCCCAAGGGUAUGGCUGUUCGCCAUUUAAAGUGGUACGCGAGCUGGGUUUAGAACGUCGUGAGACAGUUCGGUCCCUAUCUGCCGUGGGCGCUGGAGAAUUGAGGGGGGCUGCUCCUAGUACGAGAGGACCGGAGUGGACGCAUCACUGGUGUUCGGGUUGUCAUGCCAAUGGCACUGCCCGGUAGCUAAAUGCGGAAGAGAUAAGUGCUGAAAGCAUCUAAGCACGAAACUUGCCCCGAGAUGAGUUCUCCCUGAGACUUUAAGUCUCCUGAAGGAACGUUAAAGACGAUGACGUUGAUAGGCCGGGUGUGUAAGCGCAGCGAUGCGUUGAGCUAACCGGUACUAAUGAACCGUGAGGCUUAACCUU